CUCCGCAAUGCUCGAAAGAGUGACGGGGGGAUUCCAAGUGCCUACGCAUAGCGUAGGCUGUUCAGAUGCCUACAAAGCAUCUGGAGGAAGGACUGGGUAAGACGGGUGCCAGCCGCCGCGGUAACACCCGCAGUCCGAGUGGCAGUCGAGUUUAUUGGGCCUAAAGCGUCCGUAGCCGGUCUGGCAAAUGCCUGGGUAAAUCGUCUGGCUCAACCAGACGAAUUCCGGGUAGACUGCCAGACUUGGGACCGGUUGAGGGAGAGGGUACUCCAGGGGUAGGAGUGAAAUCCUGUAAUCCUUGGAGGACCACCAGUGGCGAAAGCGCUCUCCCAGGACGGGUCCGACGGUGAGGGACGAAAGCCAGGGUAGCGAACCGGAUUAGAUACCCGGG
This 391-nucleotide ribosomal RNA is filed under the name uncultured archaeon. RNAcentral describes it as "bacterial SSU rRNA". It matches the Rfam family "Archaeal small subunit ribosomal RNA", at positions 348 to 741 of the family's 1478-position model. The record is from RNAcentral.